This is a long non-coding RNA of Lolium rigidum, 2761 nucleotides long. RefSeq lists it as uncharacterized. The transcript is spliced from 4 exons. NCBI's taxonomy places the organism in Eukaryota, Viridiplantae, Streptophyta, Magnoliopsida, Poales, Poaceae. The record is from RefSeq and is a predicted model, not a curated record.
CCUGCCCUAAAUCGCCUCCUGCCCGGCUUCCUCGCGAACGCCGCUUGCCCAUGGACCACGCGCCUGCGCACGGUUGCCGGUUGUGGGCACGGUGGUGCUCUGCCUCUGCUCAUCGUCGCCUCCCUCACCACAUCUCCUCCGCUACUGUCGCCGUGUGAUGGUGAAUUUCCGCUUCCUCUUCCCCUCUUUUGUUCCAGUUUAGGAUGUGUUAAUGUGAUGUUGUUAAAUGAGAUCAUAUGCUGCUGUUAAGUGAAUUCAUCUGGUGUUGAUUGUUUGUUGUUAUAACCUACGCUUCCUAUUAACAACUCAAACAAAUUCCAAUUACUAUGUUAGUGUUUCAGACAAUUCAUAGACAUCCAAUCAUAUUUUAUUUUUUAGGAAUAAAUAUAGUAGUUUAGCUUCAAACCUUGAUGAUUUGAACUCAUACUUAGAGUUUCCAUGUAUCAAUGGGCUUGAGUUUCAUGCUUGCAUUACCUUUACAGGAGCACAUGAGCUGUUACUUCGAAAUUUAAAAUCUUCUAGUAAUACAGAAAACUGGUUGACCUUCUACUUGGUGUUUCUGGAAAAAAAAACUGGUUGACCUUGGUUAUGACAUCAAGUUCGCAUUGUUUAUCUUUCAAUAUACUAUACCUGUGCUCACAUAUUGUGCGUUCUCUACGGGCUGCAUUUAACAAUCCAGAGCAAGCUGUUGAAUAUUUGUAUACUGUAAGAAACACAGUUUUCGUAUUAAUUGGUUUUCGUUUUCAUGUUUGCUUGGACUUUCUGGAAGCGUAUUUUGUUUGUGGAGUACAAAACAAGUAUUGAUUAUGAUUAGCAAAUUUACUCCAAGGUCUUAGUUUGUAGUAAAUGAUAUUAUAUUUCUGUAGUUUAGGCUUUCCUCUGCACGGGUUCUGUAUUUUUUUUACUUCAUAUAUGCCAACCUCCAGUUCUUGUUCUGGUACAAGUUUCGGAGGAAAUGGUUCUACUAUUGUUUACUUUGAUACCAUUAUGCAGUGCAUGGCUUCUUUGCCGUUUACUCCACUUUAUUCUUCUACAACAUCAGUUGUUGUUUCAGACUGAUAAUUCUCGGAGUCCGCAGUGGUGCUAGUGCUUCUGGCGCUGUACCGGUGAUCCUGUCGUCAUCUGCAUGGAUGAUAGUGCCCAACCUCAAGCUCCAGGUUCUCUUGAACAUUUCAGUUGGUGAAAUAAAACUAAGCAUCCGCAGGUCACUAGUCAAACUAAGUUUCGGUGUCCUCUCCAAGGACCCAAAGGCCAUGGUCUUCUAAUCAAUAUAAGGAGUGUUAUAAAGAAUGUAUUGGGCGGUUGGCUUUGAAUUUGUCUUUAUUGGGCCAUGCUUGCAUUACCUUUACAGGAGCACAUGAACUGUUACUUCGAAAUUUAAAAUCUUCUAGUAAUACAGAAAACUGGUUGACCUUCUACUUGGUGUUUCUGGAAAAAAAAACUGGUUGACCUUGGUUAUGACAUCAAGUUCGCAUUGUUUAUCUUUCAAUAUACUAUACCUGUGCUCACAUAUUGUGCGUUCUCUACGGGCUGCAUUUAACAAUCCAGAGCAAGCUGUUGAAUAUUUGUAUACUGUAAGAAACGCAGUUUUCGUAUUAAUUGGUUUUCGUUUUCAUGUUUGCUUGGACUUUCUGUUGGACAUCAAGAACAUUUCAGUUGGACAUCUUUUUUGUAUUCUGCUACAAGACAUGGUAGCUCUGUUUUUUUUAUAUCUACUUUGGUACCAUAUAGUUGAGCUGUCCUACCUUAUCAUCUACUGUUGAUUUUCAAGUGACUACGCUCCAUUCCCUUUCUAGUUUUUUUUAGUUUAGAAGUGCUUUUUGAUACUUCGCUCUGAUGCCUUCUUAUUAGUGAUCUUUUAUUGACAUUUCAGGCCAUGGUCUUCUAAUCAAUAUAAGGAGUGUUAUAAAGAAUGUAUUGGGCGGUUGGCUUUGAAUUUGUCUUUAUUGGGCGAUGAGGGUGCCAUAGACUGGCAACGAAUUGUACGGAGGUAUCCAAUCCAAUCGCCUCAGCCCCAUCUCUCUCCUACUACAUACGCAUCUGACGAUUGUUGCUGUUUGUAUGUAUGUUCCCGGGAGGAAGAGACCUCGUUCGCAGGAGCAUACAUAGCUUCUUGGCCAAAUCAAUAGUUACAUACUGUCAGUAUUCUAAAUGUAAAAUUAAUUUCUUCAGAUGUUCGAUAUACAGUUUACUGAAGAAUUUUCUGAUGCUUUUAUAUGAUAGGUUACAUAUUCAUUGCAUUUGUUGCCAGAUUCUUCUUGCUUCCUAAGAAUGAGUUUGAAAUUUCAUGCAGCUGAAUCAUUGAUGCUGCCGCUGCUGGUCUGACAGUCGCUUCGCUGGUGGUGCUGCUGCAUCAGUCGUAGCUGCCACUGAGGCUCUCUGCUACUUCUCCUAGAGAGAUAAAUUACUGGAAGUGCUGCCUGCAUCUUCUUUGUGAGGAGCAUUAUCUUUUUGGUGAGGAUCAUUGUCUUUUUCCGAGUAGUACAGUUCAGGUCCUGUAAGUUAGAUGCUUGGAACUCCAUGCACGGGGUUAAAGAUCCUGUAAUUAGAUUCUGUAAUUUAGAUGCUACAUGGAAAUUUUCGUUCUAGACCAUGUUGACACCAUGUUGCUUGCAAAUGUUGGUUUCAGACCAUGUUGACACAAUGUUGCUUGCAAAUAUUGGUCGCAUCAUGUAAUUUAGAUGCCUGGUUGUAAAUUUAAUGCAUGAUCAUGUCGCUGUGUUGGAUCAAAAUGCCAAGCAAUAUGAAAGUACUAUGAUUA